Molecule: long non-coding RNA, 1991 nt
Filed under: Cucumis sativus (cucumber)
Lineage: Eukaryota; Viridiplantae; Streptophyta; Magnoliopsida; Cucurbitales; Cucurbitaceae
Description: long non-coding RNA (CSAT_LNC000453)
Source: RNAcentral
GGGGAACAACAGCAAAAUACAAUAGAGAGAGGGGAGUGAAAUUUUUCUUGCAAACAAGAGAGGAGAAGAAUGUGUCCGAUGAGUUUGACGAAGAGGAAGAGCAUUUGGUGACGGGUCUUUCGGGUGUGGGUUUUGAGUGACGACGGGGUGAUUUUUUUGACGUCACAAAGGGGUUUAUCCGAGUGAUUCAUGAGCAGUUUUUGGUGUUCUCACCGGCGCUCAUUAGGGCAGUGUUUCAACAGUGAGUUCCAAAGUCAGAGGCAACGGGUUUAGCUAUGGUUGUUCUUCUCGAUAGUUGACUCUUCUUGGGUUUGCAGUGGGUGUUCGAUACGUGUGUCUCUAGUUAGAGGGGACAGUUUCUGAUGGAUUUUGGGUGUCGAUAUUAGAGACAACAACCGGCAUGUGGGUCUCUCAGUUGCUUGGUGUUUGAUCGACGGUAAAGUCGAGUUCAACGAGAAAAUUAUAGAUUGCUUAUUACUUGUUGAUAUCUGUAGUUUGUAACUUGUGUUUCCUUUUAAUAAAAUCCCUCCAAGAUGGUUCUCAAAAUGGAUGUAGACCGAAUUGGUCGAACCACUAUAUAUCUUUGUAUCGUUUAUUCUUUUAUUGCUUACUUUGUGAUUAUUUGGCUAUUGCGUUUUGGUUAGUUUGGCAUUGUGUUCUCUGGUCUAGUAUAGGAAUUUAUACCAAGUGGUUGAGAGCUUGGUAUAAACAUAACAAGUGGUAUCAGAAUUUGGUGUAUAUUCCCAACAAAUAACAUGCAUGAUAGUAAAAUAUCUUCCUCUUCUUUUUCUUUUUCCUCCUCUCAUUCCUCUUCUUUUUCCUCCUCUUCUUCUUCAUAUUCCUCCUCCUCCUCCGCUUCUUCUGGCGAAUUGAAAAGAAAAACAAAAACUUUAAUGUCUGUUCUCAACUAGUAUUAAAGAUUAAAAAAUAAAGCGAAUCAUUAAUAUUGGUUUUCGACUGACAUUAUGAAUCAAUUUAAAAGCCUUAAAAAAAAAAGAAAAAAGAAAGAAAACAUAUUCUUUUUCACCUCUCCUCUUGUAAUUGCUAACUCCUAUCUAUUGUAAUAAAUGCUGGAGUGGAAAUUUGAACUCAAGACCUCUUGUCCACAAGAACAUACAUGUGCCAGUUGAGCUAUGCUCAUGUUCCACAUCAUCUUUUUCUUCUUCUUUUUUUGUGAAACCUCUUCCUUCCCACAUCAUCUUCCACCUCUCCAUCUCUCUUUGUUUACAAUUUCCAUUCAACUCACAAUUUUGUCAAGGACUUCACCAUCUUCAUCACACAUCAUUUCAUUGGGAUUCACUCGAGGUUUAUUAUAGCCCCAAGGUUUCUUAACUUAUUUACCUGCACCAGUAUGUUUUUAUCCACAUAUCUAACUUGUAUCUUCUACUCGUUCGAAAAAGUUUCACAAUAGUGUUCUUACUUUUUUGAUAGGCUCUGACAUUGCCCAAGCUUUGGUUGGCUUCAAAUCAGUUUACCCAUAUUGUCUAAAGUCAAUAUAUGCAAGUUCGUAUGCUUUGAGAUAGCAAUCAACAAGAUUUAUAGCCUCUUACCUAUGAUUAAGGAUUAUUGCUUUACUUCUUUUGAAUUGGGUUUAAGUGUCACACUCGGCUCUACGUACGCCCCUUGCUUGGUAUGCUAGAUGCAACGUGACUUGAGUAUCUUUGACGCGUUAAAUGCCAAAGACGCUCAGUCAUAGGGUCCUUUAGCUUUUCUUAAUCGCCUAGUGACUUUCCUUCGUCUUAAUUUAUAAAUAUCAAAUAAACCUUUAAUUGAUUCACGUAAAAAAAAAAACCCGUUAUUAUAACCCUUUUUGUUAGAAUAAUGAGGUAAAAACGCAUAUAAAGAUAAUCAAACACAUACCUGUGUUGUAAAUGCAUAAGCACUUAGAAAUGCAACUUACACAAGCAUCAUGUCUGUUUUAUGCGAUUAUCAUGUUUAAAUGCAGGAUAAGUGGACAAGAAGAGAGGAUUAAAUCACAAGGGAUAUCUCAC